UACGGAGGGAGCUAGCGUUAUUCGGAAUUACUGGGCGUAAAGCGCACGUAGGCGGCUUUGUAAGUUAGAGGUGAAAGCCCGGGGCUCAACCCCGGAAUUGCCUUUAAGACUGCAUCGCUUGAAUCCAGGAGAGGUGAGUGGAAUUCCGAGUGUAGAGGUGAAAUUCGUAGAUAUUCGGAAGAACACCAGUGGCGAAGGGCGGCUCACUGAUGCUGGUAUUGACGCUGAGGUGCGAAAGCGUGGGGAGCAAACAGG
This 255-nucleotide ribosomal RNA is filed under the name uncultured bacterium. RNAcentral describes it as "partial 16S ribosomal RNA". It matches the Rfam family "Bacterial small subunit ribosomal RNA", at positions 524 to 776 of the family's 1533-position model. The record is from RNAcentral.